AAUCCGUGGUGUGGACAGUCUCGCUGGAAGAACUUGAAUCUGAUCCACGCAUCUUUGAAAGACUCUCCAGUCUCCUGUGCGAAUGUGGCGAUUUUGCUCCCCCAAGUCU
This is a non-coding RNA of Brassica napus (rape), 109 nucleotides long. Lineage: Eukaryota; Viridiplantae; Streptophyta; Magnoliopsida; Brassicales; Brassicaceae. The record is from Rfam.